UGAGGCAUGUCUGAGCUUCCAUCCCAUCAUGGCCAGGAACUCAGCUUCCAAGGUCUCUCUGUGGUCCCCCUGGCCAAGACGGGGUCCGUUCAAUUGCUUGGGGAGCUGAGAU
Molecule: long non-coding RNA, 112 nt
Organism: Cebus imitator (Panamanian white-faced capuchin)
Lineage: Eukaryota; Metazoa; Chordata; Mammalia; Primates; Cebidae
Exons: 3
Source: RefSeq, a predicted model, not a curated record